GACGAACGCUGGCGGCGUGCUUAACACAUGCAAGUCGAACGAAGUGGCGAACGGGUGAGUAACGCGUAAUCAACCUGCCCUUCAGAGGGGGACAACAGUUGGAAACGACUGCUAAUACCGCAUACUUAAGGAGGGGAUUGCGUCUGAUUAGCUAGUUGGAGGGGUAACGGCCCACCAAGACGAUGAUCAGUAGCCGGCCUGAGAGGAUGAACGGCCACAUUGGGCGUGCGACACGGCCCAGAAUCCUACGGGAAGCAGCAGUGGGGAAGUUUCCGCAAUGGACGAAAGUCUGACGGAGCAACGCCGCGUGAGUGAUGACGGCCUUCGGGUUGUAAAGAUCUGUUAAUCGGGACGCGGUACCGGAAUAGAAAGCCACGGCUAACUACGUGCCAGCAGCCGCGGUAAUUC
Molecule: ribosomal RNA, 408 nt
Filed under: uncultured bacterium
Lineage: Bacteria
Description: partial 16S ribosomal RNA
Rfam family: Bacterial small subunit ribosomal RNA
Source: RNAcentral